Molecule: ribosomal RNA, 563 nt
Filed under: Penicillium aurantiogriseum
Lineage: Eukaryota; Fungi; Ascomycota; Eurotiomycetes; Eurotiales; Aspergillaceae
Description: eukaryotic LSU rRNA
Rfam family: Eukaryotic large subunit ribosomal RNA
Source: RNAcentral
CGAGAUACGGCGAGUGAGCGGCAAGAGCUCAAAUUUGAAAGCUGGCUCCUUCGGGGUCCGCAUUGUAAUUUGCAGAGGAUGCUUCGGGAGCGGUCCCCAUCUAAGUGCCCUGGAACGGGACGUCAUAGAGGGUGAGAAUCCCGUAUGGGAUGGGGUGUCCGCGCCCAUGUGAAGCUCCUUCGACGAGUCGAGUUGUUUGGGAAUGCAGCUCUAAAUGGGUGGUAAAUUUCAUCUAAAGCUAAAUAUUGGCCGGAGACCGAUAGCGCACAAGUAGAGUGAUCGAAAGAUGAAAAGCACUUUGAAAAGAGAGUUAAAAAGCACGUGAAAUUGUUGAAAGGGAAGCGCUUGCGAUCAGACUCGCUCGCGGGGUUCAGCCGGCAUUCGUGCCGGUGUACUUCCCCGCGGGCGGGCCAGCGUCGGUUUGGGCGGUCGGUCAAAGGCCCUCGGAAGGUAACGCCCCCUCGGGGGCGUCUUAUAGCCGAGGGUGCAAUGCGACCUGCCUGGACCGAGGAACGCGCUUCGGCUCGGACGCUGGCAUAAUGGUCGUAAGCGACCCGUCUUGA